UCAACUUGAGAGUUUGAUCCUGGCUCAGAACGAACGCUGGCGGCAGGCUUAACACAUGCAAGUCGAACGC
RNAcentral lists this ribosomal RNA (70 nucleotides) under Hyphomicrobiales bacterium. RNAcentral's name for it is "Rhizobiales bacterium (seawater metagenome) partial 16S ribosomal RNA". It matches the Rfam family "Bacterial small subunit ribosomal RNA", at positions 1 to 69 of the family's 1533-position model. Lineage: Bacteria; Pseudomonadati; Pseudomonadota; Alphaproteobacteria; Hyphomicrobiales. The record is from RNAcentral.